This is a long non-coding RNA of Nycticebus coucang (slow loris), 678 nucleotides long. RefSeq lists it as uncharacterized. The record is from RefSeq and is a predicted model, not a curated record. NCBI's taxonomy places the organism in Eukaryota, Metazoa, Chordata, Mammalia, Primates, Lorisidae. The transcript has 3 exons.
CUGGUGGACUGUUAUCACAGGAUAAUGAAAUGAAAUGGAAGACAGCUGAAAUUAAAUACAACAAAGUAAAAUAAAGUAACAACACAAGAGGAAAAAAGGUACCAAACCAUCUGAUAAAAGGUUCAGAUUCCACUACUUAUAAGGUAUUACUCUGGCUGUCGGCUGUAAAAUACAUUGUGGAGAGACAGGAGAAGCAGGAAGCCCAGUGGAGAGGAUGUUGCAAAAAUUCUGGCACAAGAGGAGACUGGAGGAGAUGGUGGUGGUGGAGACACAGGCAGAUUAGAGGAGAAUGCUGGUGGUAAGGAUAGAGGCAGAGUGUAUUUGACAGACUAAUGGCAGAAAAGCACCCCAGGAGGACAAGUGUGUAUCAUUGUGGAGGCCUCAGAGGAUCUGGACAGUCAUCCUGCCACUACCUGGAGCUCACAGUGUGGCCUUAGGACCGCACACCCCUCAGAGAGGAAUCUUAGAGAAAGUACCUAGGAGAAGUGAAUCCUGGUAAAUGUUUAACAACCAGCUCUGUCUGUCUGUCUCUCUCUCGCUCUCAAAAAAAAAAAAAAAAAAAAUCUUGAUCUGUAGUGUUCACUGAUUUCCAUGAUGUAAAUAUACCAGUUUCAAGCUCCUUCUGAGACAAAUGUGGAUUGGGAAGAGAUGAACAGCAGCAUUAAAUACAAUUAAAGA